GAGCAUACCGCGUGAUCGAUGACGGUUUUUGGAUUGUAAAGAUUUGUGGUAGAGGAAGAAUAGAUAAAUGAGGAAAUGCAUUUAUUUUUGACGGUACUUUGCUAGAAAGCCAUGACUAAUUACGUGCCAGCAGUCGCGGUAAUACGUAAGUGGCGAGCAUUAUCCGGAUUUAUUGGGCGUAUAGUAUGCGUAGAUGGCGAAUUAAGUCACAGGUUCAAGGGUGAGGCUCAACCUCACCAUGCUUUUGAUACUGUUUCGCUAGAGGUUAGAAGACGUUAAUGGAAUUUCAUGUGUAGCGGUGAAAUGCGUGGAGAUAUGAAAGAACACCAAGAGCGAAGGCAAUUAACGUGUCUGAUCCUGACAUUGAGGCAUGAGAGCACGGGGAGCCAAUCGGAUUAGAUACCCGAGUAGUCCGUUGCUGUAAACGAUGAGUACUAGAUGUUGUCAUUUUGACAGUGUCGUAGUUAACACGUUAAGUACUCCGCCUGGGGAUUACGAACGCAAGUUUAAAACUCAAA
Molecule: ribosomal RNA, 518 nt
Filed under: uncultured bacterium
Lineage: Bacteria
Description: bacterial SSU rRNA
Rfam family: Bacterial small subunit ribosomal RNA
Source: RNAcentral